AGAGAGAGAGAAAGAGAGGGAGCGAGAGAAGAGAGGGAGAGAGAGAUGUCGGCGGUGAAGGCGGUGCGACGGGUCCAGGAACGGGGCAGCGGGUUCUUCGACCCCGAUCUAGGGAACGCCCUGGUACCCGAUCUCUGCGUCGUCAAUAAGAGCUCGUUGCUGUGGGAGCUCCUCGGCCAGAUCAUGGCAUCUCGCGUCAUCUCUCCCAUUCACGCCCUCGCCCUCCUCAUCUCACGCGCCGGGACAGCAUAAAAUGGAUCACCUGUAAAUACAUUAGAUGAUUCUUUUCAAAGGCCAAUGCUUCCUGGAUGGAAUAUUAAAAGUGGUUGUGUUUGUUCUUGAAGCUGUUUUGACUGCAUGUGCACAAGGGAAGCAUCCAAGGAAUUGACUACAGGUUUGAUGCAUUUAUUUCUUGAUUGAAUUUCCUUCUUGUUUGCAUUUGCUAUCUUUUAUUCUUUGUGUUUUAGGACACCUAGCUCUUCAUUUUUUUAUCUUCCAGAUUUCAAUAUAUAUGUCAUAUAAAAUUGUUGGUUAGGCAGGGGAAACUCCAUCUAUAUAAUUUGGUUUCUACUGCUACAAAAAUUUGUAAUAAUAGAAGGAUGAUAAAGAGUUGCUUUGAGAGGUAAGAACAUUGCAGUAAUUAGUUAAUGAUCACAGAUUGAAAACAAGUAUUUAUUUUAUCUCACAUUAAAGCAUAGAUGUUUUUGUCUUGCAAUGCUAUUUAAGAUAUAGGCAAACAACAUUUAUGUUCUAAUCUAUGUAUGUCUGCUCAAACGUCACGGACCAGGAGUGAUGAAGGCAUGCCAGCACUGCAUAGCUCAAAGCUGAUGUUUAGUGGCAUGGAGGGUUUUGUUUGUGUGAAUUGAAAUUUUGUUCCCGCUAACUAUCAUCUCUAUCAGGUUGUGGAAUUCUAUUUUAGAUUGUCUUGAAAUAUUCUCCAAAUAGACCAAAUAUUGAAAAAAAAAAAAAGGGAAGAAAAUUAAUAACUUGUGUGUUCUUUGAUGUUAUUCUAUUGCACUGUUGGUGAUUUUAGGCAAUUGGGCAGAAGUCUUAUUACUGGACUAAUUAACUAGGUGAGCUGAGCACUGUUGGGCUCUGAUUUUAGGCACUGUUGGUGAUUUUGGAUUGGUUGGUCCUGUCUGAUCUCACCUAGCAGAACAUUUCAUUUAUUUUGUUCUAUUGUUCUGUGUUGUUUGCUUUUAUCUUUGUUUACUAGCCUAUUUUUAUUCUUGGUUAUCGUAAUUUAUCAUUGCUGGUUGUCCUAUAAGUAUUAGCUACUUGAGGUUCAUUAAUGACAUGAGAGACCCCACUUUGUAUUUUGCUA
Musa acuminata AAA Group (dessert banana) is the source of this 1324-nucleotide long non-coding RNA. RefSeq lists it as uncharacterized. The record is from RefSeq and is a predicted model, not a curated record. The transcript has 2 exons. NCBI's taxonomy places the organism in Eukaryota, Viridiplantae, Streptophyta, Magnoliopsida, Zingiberales, Musaceae.